Molecule: long non-coding RNA, 749 nt
Organism: Mauremys reevesii (Reeves's turtle)
Lineage: Eukaryota; Metazoa; Chordata; Testudines; Geoemydidae
Exons: 2
Source: RefSeq, a predicted model, not a curated record
UACUGGGGUAGGUGGGCUCAGCCCACUUCCCUCUUCUCCUGCCACACAGAGUCCUACUGGGCUGUUAUUGGUGGAGGACCCUCAAAGCAGUGGCUCUUGGCGUUAACACCUGUAGUGAGGCGGCCUGGUUCCCAGGCACCCCGGAGGACGAAGAACCCAGCAGAAGGCCGGACUGGGCGGAGCUAUGGAGCUCUGAUCCCGCCCCGCAAAGGGUCAAGCGCCGACCCGGAAGUAUAAAGGUGGGACCUCCGAGCUCAGUAAGGCGCCAGCCGUCAGAGGGACCGGAUGUCUGCGAUCGAGCUCCUGCUGGGGAGGCAGCAGAAGGCAGCGACCGGCCUAGCCUUCCCCUCGCUCACUAUCCCAGGGAGGCCUGGCCGAGCCUGCCCCGCGCUCGCUACCCCGAGGAGGACUGGCCGGGAUCGCCCCGCUCCAGCUACCCCGACGAGGAGCCGAACCUACCUUUUGCCACCUACCCCGAGGACCCGCUGAACCCGUCCGUGGACACCCACGUUGAGGAGCCGAUGGUGGUUGACCCCUAUGCUGACACCACGACGACUCAGAUCAAGAGCGGCUGAGAAUGAGCUGCCCACCCUCCACAACAGAACUCCCACUGAUGUUGUCAUCAGAGCAUAUGGCCUGAGCAACCAGCCUGAUGAUAAAGAAAAGAGGCCCAAUUGUCUUCCAUCGCAGCUGGAUCAACUCCAUAAUGCAGAGAGAGUGAAUCUAUUAAUUAAAAUCAGCAGACUUCA